UACAGAGGGUGCGAGCGUUAAUCGGAAUUACUGGGCGUAAAGCGUGCGCAGGCGGUUGUGCAAGACAGAUGUGAAAUCCCCGGGCUCAACCUGGGAACUGCAUUUGUGACUGCACGGCUAGAGUGUGUCAGAGGGGGGUAGAAUUCCACGUGUAGCAGUGAAAUGCGUAGAUAUGUGGAGGAAUACCGAUGGCGAAGGCAGCCCCCUGGGAUAACACUGACGCUCAUGCACGAAAGCGUGGGGAGCAAACAGG
Molecule: ribosomal RNA, 253 nt
Filed under: uncultured bacterium
Lineage: Bacteria
Description: partial 16S ribosomal RNA
Rfam family: Bacterial small subunit ribosomal RNA
Source: RNAcentral